GACAGUGUGAGGGAGGGGGUGACUAGUGACAGAGUUAGGGAGGGGGUGACUAGUGACAGAGGAAGGGAUGGAGUGACUAGUGACAGUCACCACCUCCCUCACUCUGUCACUGUGUUACCCCCUCCCUCUGUCACUAGUCACCCCCUCCCUCAUUCUGUCACUAGUCCCUCCCUUACUAGUCAUCC
This is a non-coding RNA of Pelobates cultripes (western spadefoot toad), 185 nucleotides long. The record is from the annotation of a GenBank genome assembly. Lineage: Eukaryota; Metazoa; Chordata; Amphibia; Anura; Pelobatidae.